UACGGAGGACGCAAGCGUUGUCCGGAUUUAUUGGGUUUAAAGGGUGCGUAGGCGGCUUUGUAAGUCAGUGGUGAAAUAUGGCAGCUCAACUGUCAGGGUACCAUUGAUACUGCGGAGCUUGAGUACAGAUGAGGUAGGCGGAAUUGACGGUGUAGCGGUGAAAUGCAUAGAUAUCGUCAAGAACACCUAUAGCGAAGGCAGCUUACUAAGCUGUAACUGACGCUGAGGCACGAAAGUGUGGGGAUCAAACAGG
RNAcentral lists this ribosomal RNA (253 nucleotides) under uncultured bacterium. RNAcentral describes it as "partial 16S ribosomal RNA". It matches the Rfam family "Bacterial small subunit ribosomal RNA", at positions 524 to 776 of the family's 1533-position model. The record is from RNAcentral.